AUCAUGGCUCAGGAUGAACGCUAGCGGCAGGCCUAAUACAUGCAAGUCAAGGGGCUCAGCAAUGGGCACCGGCGCAGGGGUGCGUAACGCGUACAUAACCUACCCUGAAGAGGGGGAUAGCAUCGGGAAACUGGUGGUAAUACCCCAUGAGCUUACGUCGUGGCAUUACGGUGUAAGGAAAGUUCAAGCGCUUUGGGAUGGAUGUGCGUCCGAUUAGCUAGUUGGCGGGGUAACGGCCCACCAAGGCGACGAUCGGUAGGGGGUGUGAGAGCAUGACCCCCCACACGGGUACUGAGACUCGGACCCGACUCCUACGGGAGGCAGCAGUAAGGAAUAUUGGACAAUGGAGGGAACUCUGAUCCAGCCAUGCCGCGUGAAGGAUGAAGGCGCUCAGCGUUGUAAACUUCUUUUGAAUGGGAACAAAUGACGGGAUUCAUCUCGUUUUGAGGGUACCAUUAGAAUAAGCACCGGCUAACUCCGUGCCAGCUGCCGCGGUAAUACGGAGGGUGCAAGCGUUAUCCGGAAUCACUGGGUUUAAAGGGUGCGUAGGCGGCUAUGUAAGUCAGUUGUGAAAUACCUCGGCUUAACCGAAGGAAGUGCGAUUGAUACUGCGUAGCUUGAAUCAAGUUGAGGUAGGCGGAAUGUGACAUGUAGCGGUGAAAUGCUUAGAUAUGUCAUAGAACACCGAUUG
RNAcentral lists this ribosomal RNA (691 nucleotides) under uncultured bacterium. RNAcentral's name for it is "bacterial SSU rRNA". It matches the Rfam family "Bacterial small subunit ribosomal RNA", at positions 16 to 715 of the family's 1533-position model. The record is from RNAcentral.